UUUCUAGGGUUUCACGACAGACAACAGACGAAGCUCUCACCUCUCUGAGGCGAGUGGGAAAGGGCGCAAGGUUGAGAAAGUCUUCGGACAUUGACAACUUGGAAACUAGAAAUUUAAACUUAGUGCAAAAUUCAUUCUGUUUGUUGUGAAUUUGAGCUGUUCUUUACUUUCCAAGUCCACCCAUGCCCGCGGAUUUUCUCAUCUCUUCUACCUUUUCCUUCUCCCUCGCCUCCAUGAUCACGUAUCUUAUAUUGUGUAUAAUUUAGUUUUGAUGUUGUCUUUUUCAUUGGGUAUAAAUUCCUUUGGUAGUGGACUCCUAGUUUCACCUAUGUUGUUACAAAGAAGAUUUGAAGAUACCGUUGAAUAUGUUAGUUACAUAAGCCUUUAUCGUUUAUACUGUCUUAUGUUAUUUGCAUGCUGUAUUACCAUGAAUGUUGUUUUCCUCUUAAUUACUUUGCUCCAUUUAUUAGGAGGGGUCGUCAAGUUUGUAACUAGUGACUUACCAUGAGGGACAUCCAUGAUUGUAAUGAAGGUUUCUAAUUUUAAUUUAAUUUUUUUCUUUCACGUUUUAUAUAAUUUAUAACUUGGAAAUAUUUGGAUUAGUUUGUUAUUUUCCAUUUUGUUUUGGGUUGGUUGUGUCACAUUCUACCAAACAUCUUCUUUUCUGUUUCUGAUGGUUCGAUUGAUUAAUCUCUAGUUUUUGCUUUGGUUAUGGUAAGUUGAUUUUCACGUUUUAGUUGUUUUUUAAAGAAAUGUUUAGUGCAAGUCACAAAUUUAAUUAAUAACCUGGAUGUAACAAUGCAUCCCCAUUUGGAUGGAAAUGAUUUAUGGAUUCGGUUGAUGUUUUGCUUUGUUGGGGGUUUCAUGAAAAGUUUUUGAGAAAACUUGUUUGUUGUUCAAGAAUUUAAAGAACAUGGGGUAAGGAUUCUGUGGUGAUGUUUGGCCAAGGGAGUGAAGUUGUUUUGCCUAGGGCCGUGAAGUUUGAGUAGUUGUGCUAGGCCUGAAGUUUAUGUCUAGGCUGUAGGAUUAUGUUACCUAGAGUUAUGUACAAUCAGGGAAAUUCCAUUAACUUCAGAACUCUCUCUCUUUCUCUCUCUCUGUCUGGCAAAGACUUGUUUUUUUUUUUUUUUUUUUGUCAAUGCUAAAAUUGAGAUGUAAAACUUAUUUUUAUUUUUUAUUUUAUGAAUGUUUCAUAUAAUUAAUGUUUAAUGACUAUUUAUCUAUUAAUUUCUCCUUUCCUGGCAUAGUAGUAUUUGAAAAAUACAUUAAUCACAAUUACUUAAAAGGACAUAACCUUAAUAAUUUAAAAGAAAGGAUGAUUAGGCCUCAUUGACCUGGUAAAAGAGAGACAAAAGGAAAGCCAUUAGAAAGAUUGAGAGAAAUUUCAGAGAAGUGACAAUGAAGAAGAAGUGAAAGCUGUGCAUAAGUUUUCGGUAAGUGGUGGUAAGAGCCUCAAAGAAGUGGGUGAACCUCCAGAGAAGAGAAUGGGACACAGCUAUUGAAUAGAGAAGAGAAGUGAUACUGCAGGGAGUGAAAGAACGGGAGAAGCCUAACGGCGCAUAGAGGGCUGUGUGGAUUGCAACAACAGAAUACUGCUGUGGUUGAAUAGGGUGAAAGUAAGUAAGGAGGGUUUAACAACCUUGCAGGGCCACAUACAGGAGUUGGCUUAAGAACACCACUCUUUUAGCUUUUCCAAGAAAUUGAAACCUCCCAUUUCUUUAACUCUCACUCUUUUUGAUCUGACUUCUUCGUUUAGUAUGUGGAACAAACUACAAUUGGUAGUCCACACAGGACCCGUGAAAUUCAUUGAAAACUAAACAAUUCAAAUCCUUUGAAAACACAAGGUAGAAUUUCUUCAGUUGGAAAACAAGAAGUUUGUGGGUAUUCAGACAAAUGUGUGUAAUUUUCCUCAGUAGUGGGCUUUCUUUUUGAGUUAUAUCAUUGUCAAUGAAAGUAAGUUCUUUUGGCAUUGGGGAAACUAGUGCUAGUGCCUGCAUUUUGUAUUUGUGAUACACCCAGCCUUUACAACCAUGAUGAUUGAAGCAAAAGAUUCCAUCCCCUUUGGAAUCUGUGUGUCAUGUCAACAAAGUCCAAUGACACAUCUAUUUUCUUGGAUUUUGAGUUAAACCCACUCCUACACCUUUAUCUGCACAGGGAAUUUUCUUUUUCCCUCUUUAUCUGGUCAUGGUUCAUCUCAUAGUGAGAUGGAGCUCAGAGAAAAUGACCUAGAAAAUAUUAUCCUUAUUCGGGUUGAACUGGUUGUUUCGUAAGAUUAGUUGAGGUGCACAAAAAACCAUUGUCUAUUUAGAUUUCGUUGCUAGGAAAUAUUCCUUUGUUAUUAUUGAUUAUCAUCACACUCGUGUCUCUUUGUUUGUAUGCCUGAGGAAAUUGUGUAGGCUUGUGAAUCUUAAAACUUUACACAAAGGUAUGCAAACUGUAGUGAAAAUAAUCACAACAGAUGAAAGGAGAACUGAAGUAGAUGUUUGUACUUCUACUGCUUCACUAAGUAAGUUUUAUGCCUGCCUUUUUAAUUAUAUGAUUACUAAUUUGCUAUGAUCAAGGGAGAAUUAUACUAGUCUGUUAUAGAAACUUCUUUCAGGAAGAGUAAAAAGAAAUGAAAAACUAUGGAGAGCCUAUGAUAAUGCUUUCCGCAUAAGUCUAACUAACAGAUAAUAUCUGAAAGUAGGAUCUACUUGUUGCCUCGAUGCUUUUCUUGGUCUGAUGCCUAUCUCUACUUUUCUAGGCUUUGAAAUUGAUUUAUUAAUUAGACAGUUAAAACUUUAAAAUUUAAUUGGUUUACUUGAUGCAAAAUUUGUCAUUUUCGUGUCUAGCAAGUUUGCGAAUUUGGCAAAAAUGUAGAAUAGUUCUACAGACUUAGUUGACAAAAUUUUAAAGUUUAUGGAACAUAAAAAACUCUUUACCCAACUCCUUAAUAAUAAUAGGAUCCAAUUUUUGACUUUGACCUAGCGCCCUUCAAUUAGGGAAUACUAUUGUGAGAGAAAGAGCUUCUAACUGCCACACAAUCUUUGUUACCCCAUGCAUACACAAGCAACGGUACUAUUUGAGUAUGGCGAGUUCUGAUGCUUGAAAAGGGGCGGUGUUUUGCAUAUGACAGCUACACUAAUGGAGUCAUCAACCACUGCCUAUUCUUCCUGAUAAAAAAACUCGAGUUUGAUUAUGGCCCUAUUUAUAUGAUUUGAGACGAUUUGAAAUAUUUUUUUGCUCAAAGUUGUAUGACCCUUUUACUUUAUGUGCUAUUUUUCUUAUAUUUUCAAGAUGUUUAUUUUUGUUUGUGUUUUAAGAUUUUUUGUAGGCAGCCUCUGGUAUUUUUUAACAUA
Molecule: long non-coding RNA, 3338 nt
Organism: Cucumis melo (muskmelon)
Lineage: Eukaryota; Viridiplantae; Streptophyta; Magnoliopsida; Cucurbitales; Cucurbitaceae
Exons: 2
Source: RefSeq, a predicted model, not a curated record